This 68-nucleotide transfer RNA is filed under the name Marmota monax (woodchuck). Its description in RNAcentral is "tRNA.Ala". The record is from RNAcentral. Lineage: Eukaryota; Metazoa; Chordata; Mammalia; Rodentia; Sciuridae.
GGAUUGUGGCUCAGCGUUGGAGCACUUGCCUAGCAUGUGCAAGGUCCUGGGUUCGAUCCUCAGCACCA